This 550-nucleotide ribosomal RNA is filed under the name uncultured bacterium. Its description in RNAcentral is "bacterial SSU rRNA". It matches the Rfam family "Bacterial small subunit ribosomal RNA", at positions 355 to 896 of the family's 1533-position model. The record is from RNAcentral.
UAGGGAAUCUUCGGCAAUGGACGGAAGUCUGACCGAGCAACGCCGCGUGAGUGAAGAAGGUUUUCGGAUCGUAAAGCUCUGUUGUAAGAGAAGAACGAGUGUGAGAGUGGAAAGUUCACACUGUGACGGUAUCUUACCAGAAAGGGACGGCUAACUACGUGCCAGCAGCCGCGGUAAUACGUAGGUCCCGAGCGUUGUCCGGAUUUAUUGGGCGUAAAGCGAGCGCAGGCGGUUAGAUAAGUCUGAAGUUAAAGGCUGUGGCUUAACCAUAGUAGGCUUUGGAAACUGUUUAACUUGAGUGCAAGAGGGGAGAGUGGAAUUCCAUGUGUAGCGGUGAAAUGCGUAGAUAUAUGGAGGAACACCGGUGGCGAAAGCGGCUCUCUGGCUUGUAACUGACGCUGAGGCUCGAAAGCGUGGGGAGCAAACAGGAUUAGAUACCCUGGUAGUCCACGCUGUAAACGAUGAGUGCUAGGUGUUAGACCCUUUCCGGGGUUUAGUGCCGUAGCUAACGCAUUAAACACUCCGCCUGGGGAGUACGACCGCAAGGUUG